GACGAACGCUGGCGGCGUGCUUAACACAUGCAAGUCGAACGGAAAGGCCCUGCUUUUGUGGGGUGCUCGAGUGGCGAACGGGUGAGUAACACGUGAGUAACCUGCCCUUGACUUUGGGAUAACUUCAGGAAACUGGGGCUAAUACCGCAUAGGAGCUCCUGCUGCAUGGUGGGGGUUGGAAAGUUUCGGCGGUUGGGGAUGGACUCGCCGCUUAUCAGCUUGUUGGUGGGGUAGUGGAUUACCAAGGCUAUGACGGGUAGCCGGCCUGAGAGGGUAACCUGACACGCCAGGAUGGAGAUGCGGCCCAGACUCGUCUGGGACGCAGGAGAGGGGAAGAUAGUACUAUGGGAGGAGGGAUGGUGUAGCAACGCCGCGUGGGGGAUGACGGCAUGCCGGUUGUGAAGCGCUGUCGUCUGUGACGAGGUGUGAGUGACGGUAAUGGGUGAAUAAGCACCGGCUAACUCCGUG
Molecule: ribosomal RNA, 468 nt
Filed under: uncultured bacterium
Lineage: Bacteria
Description: partial 16S ribosomal RNA
Rfam family: Bacterial small subunit ribosomal RNA
Source: RNAcentral